UUGAAAAAAUAACUUGUUUAUUUCAUUUAAAAAAUACAGAUUUUAAACUUUAAAUGACGAUAUAUACACGGAAACAAACUAAUUCUGUUUCAAUUUUUACACCGAUGUAAAGUUCAGUUUUAUAACUACUUUGUGUUGUAAAUUCAAGUAUUUCUGAUUUACGGUCGCGAAGCCGUACCCCCAAUAAACAUAUAACCCUCGAGUCGACUUUCAGCCCCGAGUAAGUUGCUCGCCGAACGGUUUUAAAGGUUGACGACCGAUGAUGCUAAACGGAUUUUACCCUUGCUAGAGCCUUCAAACAAGUUCUGGAGACAUUUACGGUGGCCUAUCCAGAACUUUCCUUACAAGGGAAGGGAAGAAGGCCAAGACCCCACUCCCCCCUACAAUUCCCAAAACAUAUUACUUACUCUUGAUGCUCCACAAGAUCAAGGUUGAGGGAAACAAGACGUACAAAGAUGUUCCCCCAAAACUGUUCCCCCAAAGCAGUUAUCAGGUUUGAAAAGAAACCAAAGCAUGUGGCAUCAACUGCUGCAUCACUUGUAGGCAUCACGUCUUUAUUAAACUACAUUACAUUACAUUUACUCUACUAAAUUUUGAUUCUGUUUCUCCUGCACUAGAUAACUGUGGUAUUUUUUAAAAUAAUAUUUUAACUCAUGUGAUUUUUGAAAAUAAUUAACACAUUUUUCCACGUCGAUGUUACCAACACAAUAAUUUUAGA
This is a long non-coding RNA of Physella acuta, 718 nucleotides long. RefSeq lists it as uncharacterized. The record is from RefSeq and is a predicted model, not a curated record. NCBI's taxonomy places the organism in Eukaryota, Metazoa, Mollusca, Gastropoda, Physidae.